GACGAACGCUGGCGGCGUGCCUAACACAUGCAAGUCGAACGAAGCACUGAAAUUGAUUUCUUCGGAAUGAUUUUUCUUUGACUGAGUGGCGGACGGGUGAGUAACACGUGAGCAACCUGCCUUUCAGAGCGGGAUAGCAGUUGGAAACGACUGAUAAUACCGCAUGACAUGUUUCCUCCGCAUGAGGAAAACAUCAAAUGAUUUUUCGCUGAAAGAUGGGCUCGCGUCCGAUUAGGUAGUUGGUGAGGCAACGGCUCACCAAGCCGACGAUCGGUAGCCGGACUGAGAGGUCGAUCGGCCACAUUGGGACUGAGACACGGCCCAG
This 325-nucleotide ribosomal RNA is filed under the name uncultured bacterium. RNAcentral describes it as "bacterial SSU rRNA". It matches the Rfam family "Bacterial small subunit ribosomal RNA", at positions 28 to 334 of the family's 1533-position model. The record is from RNAcentral.